Molecule: ribosomal RNA, 253 nt
Filed under: uncultured bacterium
Lineage: Bacteria
Description: partial 16S ribosomal RNA
Rfam family: Bacterial small subunit ribosomal RNA
Source: RNAcentral
GACAGAGGGUGCAAACGUUGUUCGGAUUUACUGGGCGUAAAGCGCGUGUAGGCGGCCUUGCAAGUUGGAUGUGAAAGCCCACGGCUCAACCGUGGAAGCGCAUCCAAAACUGCAUCGCUCGAGUCUCGGAGAGGAAGGUGGAAUGCUUGGUGUAGAGGUGAAAUUCGUAGAUAUCAAGCAGAACACCUGCGGCGAAGGCGGCCUUCUGGACGGUGACUGACGCUGAGACGCGAAAGCGUGGGGAGCAAACAGG